Erwinia tracheiphila is the source of this 88-nucleotide non-coding RNA. The record is from Rfam. NCBI's taxonomy places the organism in Bacteria, Pseudomonadati, Pseudomonadota, Gammaproteobacteria, Enterobacterales, Erwiniaceae.
CGUAUGAUACGCAGGCCAGCCCCGUGAAGCCUGCACAGCGCGGUGGCGGCGUGCAGCAAGGCUGCACAUGAAUCACCACCCGGUUAAG